ACAAUAUUAGACACAUUGGACAUAGGCGUUUCGGUUGAAAAGAUGGUCUCGGGUAUUUUGGUAGUUGGGGGCACUGGUUCCACCUGCGUAAACCUAGAACGGAUAUCUUCGAAGGGAGAAACAGAGAGGUCCAAGGGGCUUCCAGGCAUGAACACGGAGAUCACGCACAAGAUCAGACAGGAGAGCUGUGCCAGUCCUGAGAACAGACCGGUCCGAACAAGACCGCAUUUUCGGCGCAGCCAAGUGAAAGCCACAGUUCCCAUUAUUCCAGUUAUUGCUGACGCUCCCAUCAAAACACUGAGGAUGGAGCCACUCAGCCCCUGAGUGUAGGCGUACCCUGUGGUAAUGCAAUCAAAGCCCAGGACUGUCAUGUAGAGGAAAGCCAGGCCCAUGCCAGCCAGAAACACCGGCUGGUUAUAGUAGGACACCCAUCCAUCUCGAAAGGUGCGGAAGGGCUCAGCGAUCUGGGAAGCACACGUGGGCUCUUGCUCAUGUUCAAGUUCGCGGAUGUUGGAGUCUUUCUCGCCCAUUAGGGGUCCCUCCAGGGAACAAUGUGACUGCUGCCUUCUAGCAAAGUGCAAGGAGUGAAAUAUAAAAAACCAGCAGUGUGGGAAAGGUGGAAAAGUUCCUGCAGGAAGGAGGGUAAAGCCAGAAAGCAGAGAAGGAUUGAGCAUCUGUCAGCACGAGAAGAUCAGCUCCAUGCCCACAGGAACACUGAGCUAAGUCAUGUGUUUUCUCCAGUCUUGCUCUACUGUGAAAAGUUGGGUUUAUAGGGAGUUCCUGAGCUAGCCCAACAAAAGGAGGAGCCAAGUGAGCCAAGGCUAUUCCCUGGGAGAUGAUCAAGAACUUGGGGUUCACAGAGCUUUCAAGACUCCAGAUCUAUAUUUUAUACAAUACUUAUGAAGGCAAUAAUGCUUUAUGUCAAGAAAAAGGUCAUGUCAGAAAAUAGCUUUUAUCUUUCUGGAGCAGAAUGAAUUAAGCAGUAGUUUUGAAGACCUAACUGUUUUAUUGGUAAUCGCCUCGAAGAGAGUCAGUCUGCUGAAUGUUCAAACAUAUGCUCUUGGUGAAUUUAUAUUUAUUUCCAUAAGAACACUCAAAUGAGUGUUUACCUCAUUCUGGUUUGGUUGUUUGGGCUAUAACUAUGACGCAGAACGUGGUAUGAAAUAAUUUAUUUCACUGUAACAAGGACAUGAUACCACACAGAAGAAUAAUUUUUCAAAAGGCACCUGCCAAGCAAAUAACAGCCAGCAGCUCAUCCACCUAAAAUGUGAAACCAACUUUUAACCAAUAGAGUUCAGGCAUGAAAUUUAUGUGUCCUACUUUAUCAGAGCAAGCCAUAGACUUUCCUUCAGAAUAACAAGCAAGAAACCCCCGAGAAGCUGUUGCUCCAGCCUUCCCCACGAAGGGGGACAGAGAGAUAGAUGGAUUAGAAAGCCUGGGAAGGGGUAACACAGGCUACACGGACAAGUGAAUGUCAUAAUAAAAUAUUAAACCU
Molecule: long non-coding RNA, 1495 nt
Organism: Peromyscus eremicus (cactus mouse)
Lineage: Eukaryota; Metazoa; Chordata; Mammalia; Rodentia; Cricetidae
Exons: 3
Source: RefSeq, a predicted model, not a curated record